GUGUCAGCAGCCGCGGUAAUACGGAGGUGGCAAGCGUUGUUCGGAAUUACUGGGCGUAAAGGGCGCGUAGGCGGGGAGGUAAGUCGGGUGUGAAAUCCCUCGGCUCAACCGAGGAACUGCGCCCGAAACUGCUUCUCUUGAGUCCCGGAGAGGAAGGUGGAAUUCCCGGUGUAGCGGUGAAAUGUGUAGAGAUCGGGAGGAACACCGGUGGCGAAGGCGGCCUUCUGGACGGUGACUGACGCUGAGGCGCGAAAGCGUGGGGAGCAAACGGGAUUAGAUACCCCAGUAGUCC
Molecule: ribosomal RNA, 292 nt
Filed under: uncultured bacterium
Lineage: Bacteria
Description: partial 16S ribosomal RNA
Rfam family: Bacterial small subunit ribosomal RNA
Source: RNAcentral